This 28-nucleotide non-coding RNA is filed under the name Mus musculus (house mouse). The record is from RNAcentral. Lineage: Eukaryota; Metazoa; Chordata; Mammalia; Rodentia; Muridae.
UUCAGAAUUGUGAGAGUGCUUGGUGGCC